CCUACGGGAGGCAGCAGUAAGGAAUAUUGGUCAAUGGACGAAAGUCUGAACCAGCCAUGCCGCGUGAAGGAUGAAGGUCCUCUGGAUUGUAAACUUCUUUUAUCUGGGACGAAAAAAGGGCUUUCUAGCUCACUUGACGGUACCAGAGGAAUAAGCACCGGCUAACUCCGUGCCAGCAGCCGCGGUAAUACGGAGGGUGCAAGCGUUAUCCGGAUUUACUGGGUUUAAAGGGAGCGUAGGUGGACAGGUAAGUCAGUGGUGAAAUCUCUGGGCUUAACCCGGAAACUGCCAUUGAUACUAUCUGUCUUGAAUAUCCUGGAGGUAAGCGGAAUAUGUCAUGUAGCGGUGAAAUGCUUAGAUAUGACAUAGAACACCCAUUGCGAAGGCAGCUUACUACGGGAUUAUUGACACUGAGGCUCGAAAGCGUGGGGAUCAAACAGGAUUAGAUACCCUGGUAGUCCACGCCCUAAACGAUGGAUACUCGACAUCAGCGAUACACUGUUGGUGUCUGNGNGAAGANAUAUAUCCACCNGAGACGACGCGAGUAGAAGUAAGAAGUAGAGNGNGAGAGAGCGAGACGACGACGAGGGAGGAGG
Molecule: ribosomal RNA, 596 nt
Filed under: uncultured bacterium
Lineage: Bacteria
Description: bacterial SSU rRNA
Rfam family: Bacterial small subunit ribosomal RNA (bases 1-531)
Source: RNAcentral